Molecule: non-coding RNA, 99 nt
Filed under: Clostridium carboxidivorans
Lineage: Bacteria; Bacillati; Bacillota; Clostridia; Eubacteriales; Clostridiaceae
Also listed under: 1 other name
Description: Glycine sequence
Rfam family: Glycine riboswitch aptamer
About the family: This family represents the bacterial glycine riboswitch. Glycine riboswitches usually consist of two metabolite-binding aptamers domains with similar structures in tandem. The aptamers cooperatively bind glycine to regulate the expression of downstream genes.
Source: RNAcentral
AUGAUUAUAUCGUGAGAUAACAUUUGUUAACCGAAGAAGCAAUGCUAUAGUUCCACAGCUAUAUCAGAAACUUUCAGGUACCAGGAGCGAUAUAAGACG